RNAcentral lists this long non-coding RNA (2691 nucleotides) under Solanum tuberosum (potato). RNAcentral's name for it is "long non-coding RNA (STUB_LNC004505)". The record is from RNAcentral. Lineage: Eukaryota; Viridiplantae; Streptophyta; Magnoliopsida; Solanales; Solanaceae.
GGGAGAUAUAAAUUGUUAUAUGAACUUCGAUAUAAAUAAACUAACUCCAACGAAGAACCAACUGUAAUAAAAAUUGUGAGUUAAAGAAAUCCUUAAGUCCAAAGUCUAGCCAAAACAUUUUUAAUGUAUCAACUAGUUCAUGAAAAUCUGGACAAUAUUGUUUUAAAAAUACAAAUUGUACUUGGUUUUCUUGUACGCAUUGAUUUUAACACCUAAAAAUUUGAGAAGAAAUUUCAUAUUGGCAAAGUAGUGAUACAAACAUUGUAACCGUGUUGAACUUGCUGACUAAGGAAUAAUACGAAUCUCACAGUAUAGUACUAAUAUUAUAUAAAAAAAAUUAAGAAUGAGAGAAAUGACUAUUACUAGUGUUGAGAAAUUAGAAUGAGCUUAAAACUAACCAUAGAUAUAUGAAGAGAUGAAAUUUGAAAUCUAAACCAUACCGCAAGAAAAAUAGGGUUUGCGGAAAACAUUGAUCAAACUAAGCUAGCCAAUUCAAAUACCGAUUAUAACGAUUUACAUAAUCCCAAGCUGAGAUAUAAAAAUGUAAAUGCAGCCAUGGUACAGUCAAGGUCUGUCCCACAGUAGCAAACACUUCAAUCUUUGUAAAUUUAAGGUCUCUACAACACAAUUACUUUCCAACGUUAAGCUUGUACAUAUGAGAGAAAAAUAACAAAGAGCUCUAACAACAAGAUAAGAUACGCUAUUUGAUUGUUUAUGUAUUUUAUUUUUAUUUUUUAUUUUUAACUUGAUUGACAAUGAGAAAGGGGCAGAGAUAGCCAUCCUUAGUCUUGGCCAGAUUUAUGCCUAAAUAAUAUAUUGAAAUUUUGAACCAAAGAAGCACCAAACAAAGGACGCAUAUUGACACCAGAUAAAUGAUACUACAUGAACCAAAAACACUGCCAACAUGAAUAAAUUAGCCAUGACACGGAUUACAACAACUCAAAAUAGCUAAAUCAUGCUUUCAGUUUAAUAUGGAGACAAAUUCUACUAAAACUAAGCAGGGAGUAGGCUGAGUAAUUAAGAAUCAUAAUGAACAAAAGGAAGAUCGUGCUCAAGAUCGAGCUGGAUGAAGCUCAUGCCCAUGGUAUCAAGAGAACUGAACUAAGUAGGCAUGGAAGGAUGCAAAACCAAAAACCAAGAAUUACACCUAAAUACCCUAUGCAAAUUAGGCUAAUAUCGAGACAACGAUAAGUCCCAAAACACAAAGAAAUAGACAAGAUUACAUUUGUAUGAUAUAGAAUAUGUCAAACAAUAUUAAUAUCGCAACUCAGAAAAUAUCUUUAUUGAGCUAGCAUAGAAUAAUUUAGGCAAAGUAAAGGCAGAUUGAGCGUAAUCUCAAAUGGCCUCGUGCCAAAGAUGACCCAACUGAUAUUUUGGUGCUCUCAUUUCAAUAGUCAAUCAUUAAGAUUUUCCAAAUAUCAUAUGUUUAACAUCACAUAAAUUGAACUCGUAGCAUAUGAACCUUAAGGCAAUAGAUGAGGCAGUAAGCACAAGGCGAUGAUAGAAUAGCUUUUAUUAGAUACAAAGAUCAACAUUUAAAAGAGGAAUUCAUUUUCUUAAGAUGAAAUAUUUUAAACUAAAAUAGUGAGUAACGAGCUGAUUCAAAGAACAUGAAAACAAUAUUUAUCCUAUCAAACAUAUAUUACAGAUUUCUCUCAUCAUGAUGUUAAUUCGAUAGAACAAAAUUUCAUUAAACAUAAAGAUUAGGACAUGAAUCAUGUGCGAAAUGAGAGGCUAUAUCCCAAAGCUAAACUAACAUAUCAGAUAGUACACCCGAAUAUGAAUAGAAGGUGAAAAUCAACACGAGGCAUAGGCAAAAUAGAUUCUAAGAAACGGGUGACUAAAAUCCAAGAUAAGAACUGAAACUUCGGUACAGUAAAAGACACAACAAAUAAACUCAAACUAUAGUAUAUCUUAUACGAGAAAAUCACAAACAACAUACCAAUACCGACUAUUUAAACGCCAAAAUAAAAACUGAUCAAAUGGAGAUUCACAUACUUAAAAAUGGUAUCAGACUUACAAAAGAAAAAACAUUGAACUGCUCAACAAGAAGGAAAACAGAGUAAUCAGCUAACAAUAGUAACAAAUUAAAAAAUACAUCAAUAAUAUACAAGAAUUUAAAUAAGACGAUAAAAGUUAACCUUUUCCGGGGCAUCGACUGAGACAAACGUGUUGAAGAGCUUCCUACUACUACUGACCGCCGCAAUCAGAUGAACAAAAGAACUUGAAAGAAAAUUGAAAAUCCGAGGUUCAAACCUUCGUGGGUUCGAUUUCAGAGAAUACUAUUCUCCAACUUUCAAAUUUCAAUCCUCUGACCCCUUUCUAAAUGGGACCAAUACCAUGUAUUUAUAGCAAAAAUAAAGGCUUGAAUUCAAAUACUCGUUUGAGUGGGAGAUGAGAGAUUGAUUGAAAAUAAUGGAGGAGAAAACGAGUAAGAGAAGAACAUACCGCCAAAAAUCCGGAUUUGAUGUGAUAGCUCUGAUUCGCAUCAAAUUUCGGUGAGAUUUUUAUAUAAUCCAAAGUCAACAAAUCUAACCCGAGGUCUUCAAUCUUUUAAUAUGGAGGGAGGGACCGUCAAUGGUGAUGGGCGGUGUAGUUGGAUGAAGAAAUUAAGGUUCUUUGUAUUGACUUUGUGUUUUGGAGGAAGAAAAGUGAGAGGAGCGUGUCUUUGGUUUAGAGAGUGAAUUAGAA